CCUCCAGGGCUAUUGCUGGGGCUCGGUACCUCCACUGCUAAUUCACUGCACCUGGAGACCAUUUUCCCCAUUUUUGUUGCCUUUGUACCCUUGCUAUUGUUAUUAUUGUCAUUAUUGUUGUUUAAAUUUUAAGUGGUCUGAGUUUCAGAGCACUGCACUUGCAAGUAUGAGGUCCUGAGUUAAUUCCACAGUUCUGCCUCCCCACCACACACACACACACACACACACACACACACACACUGUCUCUAAGAAUUUAUGUAUUUAUUCAUGAGAAAGAUAGGAGAGAGAACCAGACAUCACUGGUACAUUUGCUGCUGGGGAUCAAUCUCUCAACCUCAUGCUUGAGAGUCCAGUGCCUUAGCCAUUGUGCCACCUCCCGGACUACUACGGUUUUUUUAUAUAUAUAUAUAAAGCUGAGGUCUCAUGCAUGCACAAUUACACAAAUCAUGAGCCAACAUAAUUCAGACAGAGGCACACAGAGGAAAAGACAACAUAGCACUGAAGCUUCCCUGGGAUCUAAGAGCCUCAGCCAUGAAAGUCUGUGGUUUAAACUGCUGUGCUAUUUCCCUGGCCAUUACCCUCAAUCUUAAAAAUUAAAAAAAAAAAAAAAAAGAGUCCCUUGGUGCACUGGAUGGAGCAUUGGAUUCUCAACCAUGAGGUCCAGAGUUCAAUCCCCGGUAGCACAUGUACCAGAAAGAGUCCCCCAGGAGUGGUGGCAUUGUGCAGGUGCAGAAACCCUAGUGGCAAAAAUUAAUUAAUAAUUAAAAAAGAACUUGGUGAUUUUUUUUCUUCUGGUUACAGUUAUCUGCAUUAUUAAGAUUUUUGUAUCUGAAGAAGAAAAGAGCAAUAAAAUGGGUUUAUGAUCCAUAGUCAUAGAAAAAAAAAAAACAACAGUUGGAAGUACUGAAUCUUCUUUUUAGGGAAAUAAACUAAGUAAGAAAUUAGAGGGCAGGUGUAGAUAGCAUAAUAGUUAUGGAAGAAAGUCUCAUGCCUGAGGUUCCAAAGUCCCAGGUUCAAUCCCCUGCACCACUACAAGCCAGAGCUAAGCAGUGUUCUGGUAAAAGAAAAGAAAUUAGAAGAUCUGAGUUCCAGUAUCAGUUCACCAUCUGGAACUCCUGAGUGAGGACAUGCAAAAACAAACAAACAAACAAAAAUCCUUUGGCACCAAGUCAUUAUUUCUGGAUUACAUAGACCAAGUGAGAAAAUGAACAUGUGUUAAAAUUUACAAGUUUUUAUAUAUAAUACAGUAUUUUUUCUUCUUUUCAUAUAAAAUUUCAUAAUACUUUCUAUGCCAAUACAACAAAAAAAUGUAAACCAUUCCUGUGAAAGAGAUCACUAAGAAAUUCCUCAAUUAUAACCUUUUCCAGAAAAAAUAUUAGGUAUCGGGGGCCAGGCAGGUUAGCACAGUGCGUUAAGUCCACAUGGUACAAGGCGCAAGGACUGGCAUAAGGAUCCCAGUUGGAGCUCUGGCUCCCCCCCUGCAGGGGGGUCACGUCACAGGCGGUGAAGCAGGUCUGCAGGUGUCUGUCUAUCUUUCUCCCUCUCUGUCUUCCCCUCCUCUCUCCAUUUCUCUCUGUCCUAUCCAACAACAACAGCUAUAACAACAAUAACAAUAAAAACAAGGGCAACAAAAAUGAGAAAAAUGGCCUCCAGGAGCAGAGGAUUUGUGGUGCAGGCACCAAGACCCAGCAAUUACCCUAGAGGCAAAAAAUAA
Erinaceus europaeus (western European hedgehog) is the source of this 1714-nucleotide long non-coding RNA. RefSeq lists it as uncharacterized. The transcript has 2 exons. NCBI's taxonomy places the organism in Eukaryota, Metazoa, Chordata, Mammalia, Eulipotyphla, Erinaceidae. The record is from RefSeq and is a predicted model, not a curated record.